This 487-nucleotide ribosomal RNA is filed under the name uncultured bacterium. RNAcentral describes it as "bacterial SSU rRNA". It matches the Rfam family "Bacterial small subunit ribosomal RNA", at positions 43 to 524 of the family's 1533-position model. The record is from RNAcentral.
CAGGCCUAACACAUGCAAGUCGACCGUGGAAGGGUAGCGUGGUACCUCACCUAGCGGCGGACGGGUGAGUCAUGCCCAGGAAUCUGCCUAUUAGUGGGGGACAACAUUCCGACAGGAAUGAUAAUACCGCAUACGCCGUACGGGGGAAAGCAGGGGAUUUUCGGACCUUGCGCUAAUAGAUGAGCUUAAAUCGGAUUCGCUAUUUGGUAGGCUAAAGGCCUACCAAGCCGACGAUCUGUAGCGGGUCUGAGCGCAUGAUCCGCCACACUGGGAAUGAGACACGGCCCAGACUCGUACGGGAGGCAGCAGUGGGGAAUAUUGGACUAUGGGGGGAUCCCUGAUCCAACCAUGCCGCGAGUGUGAAGCAGGCCUUUUGGUUGUCCAGCACUUUAAGCGAGGAGGAGGCUACCUAGACUCAUACUUUAGGAUAGUGGACGUUACUCGCAGCAUAAGCACCGGCUAACUCUGUGCCAGCAGCCGCGGUAAU